RNAcentral lists this ribosomal RNA (201 nucleotides) under uncultured bacterium. RNAcentral's name for it is "partial 16S ribosomal RNA". It matches the Rfam family "Bacterial small subunit ribosomal RNA", at positions 328 to 539 of the family's 1533-position model. The record is from RNAcentral.
ACGCUCGACACCUACGGGGGGCAGCAGUGGGGAAUAUUGCACAAUGGGGGAAACCCUGAUGCAGCAACGCCGCGUGAAGGAAGAAGUAUUUCGGUAUGUAAACUUCUAUCAGCAGGGAAGAAAAAGAUGACGGUACCUGACUAAGAAGAACCGGCUAAAUACGUGCCAGCAGCCGCGGUAAUCUGAGCGGGCUGGCAAGGC